Non-coding RNA from Vigna angularis (adzuki bean), 89 nucleotides. Lineage: Eukaryota; Viridiplantae; Streptophyta; Magnoliopsida; Fabales; Fabaceae. The record is from Rfam.
CCGACCUUAGCUCAGUUGGUAGAGCGGAGGACUGUAGUAGUAUACAAACAGAUAUCCUUAGGUCGCUGGUUCGAAUCCGGCAGGUCGGA